Molecule: small nucleolar RNA, 85 nt
Organism: Cucurbita maxima (winter squash)
Lineage: Eukaryota; Viridiplantae; Streptophyta; Magnoliopsida; Cucurbitales; Cucurbitaceae
Product: small nucleolar RNA snoR114
Exons: 1
Source: RefSeq, a predicted model, not a curated record
AAGCUGUGAAGAUAAUUACGCUUUCAGUGAUGGUGGGUCCAUCACUCAAUCAUCCUCCCGGAUGACAAUAAGCGUUACUGAGCUU